Long non-coding RNA from Ananas comosus (pineapple), 191 nucleotides. RefSeq lists it as uncharacterized. NCBI's taxonomy places the organism in Eukaryota, Viridiplantae, Streptophyta, Magnoliopsida, Poales, Bromeliaceae. The transcript has 2 exons. The record is from RefSeq and is a predicted model, not a curated record.
CGCCUCCAUUCUAGGGCUCAAUCACGACAUCGUGGAUCACGCCUUUGAGCUCUUCAGGGACUGCUCCUCCGCAAUUAGGUGGUCUCCGACGAGGUUCCACUUGUUGUGUCGCGGCAGUUGCUUCAGAGCUUUGCACAGGAGCUGGGGAGGUUGGAUGCUAACGCGCAGAAGGAGAUUGCACACUAUGCCUU